Molecule: long non-coding RNA, 12350 nt
Filed under: Homo sapiens (human)
Lineage: Eukaryota; Metazoa; Chordata; Mammalia; Primates; Hominidae
Description: non-protein coding lnc-PPEF1-7:4
Source: RNAcentral
AGGCCUGCUGGGCUCCCGACGCUCGCGGGAGCAGCGGGAAACCAGGUUCCGGGAGUGGGGCGAGGACGCCCCUGCCAAGCCCCUUUUACGUCCCGGCGGUCGCGAGGAGGUCCCCCGGGCGCGAAGAAGACGCCAGCCCACCCCAGCCGCCGGGGAGAUCGCCCAGGCCGCGCUCAGCCCCGCCCCUGGCUCUGCCCCCGCCGCGGAGCGGAACCCUCCAAGUCGCGGCCUGAGGAGGAAGGAAAAGGGGGCGGCCCGGGAGAGCCGCUGCGAAAUCAGCAACGGGCGGGAACCAGGUUGCCUCCCUGAGUCCCUUCUCUCCCCGGCCGGCUGCCAACCACAGCCAAGGCCAGAGAAACAGGCCCUUCUGCCGCGGCCACCUGGGCGCCUUGGACCCGCCCUCCGGACUCGCCCCCGCCCCUGCCGCGGAGUGGAACGUUUGGAACCCUGAGGGGCACAGGUAAGGGGGCGGCCCCGCCCCGCGCCCUGGAACGACCUCACGGCCCCGCCCACAUCCCCGCCCCUGGCCCCACCUCCGCCGCAGAGCGGAACCCUCAGAGUCGCGGCCUCGGGGGGGACGAAAAAGGAGGCGGCCCGUGGGAGUCUAGGGGAACCCGGCUUCGGGCGGCGGACGAGUUGGCUUUCCUGCGUGGUAGUGUGGAGCCCCCCGAGACGGGUGCCAGUCCCACUCGAGGCCGGAGAAAGAGGGCCGCCUACCGCGGCCGCCUGGGCACCCCUCUGAGGGCCAAGAUUGUAGUCCCACCUCUGGCCCCGUCUCCGCCGCCUAGCGGAACUGGAGUAGCGGGACCCAGCCCGGAAGAAAAAGGGGGAAGGCCCGGAGAGGUGCCCCAGCGACACCUCUGGCGCCUGUGACCCCGCCCCUAGCCACUUGGGCGCCGCUUCCUCGGGCAGGUUCGCAGUUCAUCUCCCACGGGUCUACAGCUUGAAACUUGGCAUUCAUUAUAAUGUUUCGUGGCUGCUGAUAACCUACAGUUCACAAUCUUCGGCCUGGUAUUCAUUGUCCACCAAAAUCUGGCCCACAUAGGAAUUUACUGGACAGCUAGACUAAUGCAAUCAAUUUCCGCAAGCUCUUUUCCAGUCUCCAUGCAUUUACUCUAUGCUUGACCCCUUCGGCCCUUCUUCCUCCUCCUUGACUAACUGAAGCCUAUCUUUCCCUUAACGGCCAGCUCAGCUCCUCUAUUAGCCUUCCCCAUUUUCUGAAUUUCUGUAGCCAUUGGUUUAGUAAGAGCUUAGGACUUAGAGUCAGUUCAUUUUGAGUUCAAAUGUCAGUUCUGUCAUUUACAAGUCGUAUGACCUUUGGCAUCCCGUUUUACAUGUUUGAACUUAAGUGUUCUCAUCUGUAAAAUGGAGAUAAUCAUAGCACCUACCUCACAGGAUGACUUAAGAUCAAGAGGAUGAAUAUAAAGCAUUUAGCACAAGCCUGGCUAGUAGAAAAAUACUUAAUAAAUCAUAGCUAAUUUCGUUGUCACUUGGCCACAAUGUAUUGCCUCCUGUUGUUAUUUAUGUUUUCAUGUGUGGAUGAGGCAUAUUUUCCUAAUUGGAAUGUACGUUAUUCAUUGAAACAGUCUUUUGGUAUCUCCUACUAUGCCUGGUACAGUGUUGAGCAUAUAGUUGGAGCUCAAUUAAUGUUGCUCGCAUGAGUAAAUGAAAUCAGUCCUGCUUAGCUGCGUUCCCUUAUGUUUGGUCCUUAACCAAGUUUAUAUUAGAUAUUCCAGAACAUAAAUCUAUGGCUUUACUCUGUCACUCAACUAAAGCACCAAACCCCACAUCAGCUCACAUAUUACUUCAUAUAAUACUUUGUUUUCUUAAUAUUGGCUUUUGAAUUAUGCAGUGAUCCAUGUGAUGUGCCUCCAUGAAGAAUUUGCUGUGGUCUAGGGGUGAAUAAAACUAGACAUUGUUAUCACCACUAAAUGUUUUGGAAUCUGAAUAUGUACUCUUGCUAGAAUUUUCAUGUAUUCAUCUCCAUCUAAAAGCUGGGAUCAUUGCUUCUUUUCAUUGUGGCUUUUGUUUCCAUUGGGUCCUUCCUUAGGAGUUGAUUUUGCAGCCAUAUGGGAAAUAACUGAUGAUCUUUGCUCCUUAUCUGGCAUUUCCACCUAGUAUAGAAACAUUUUCAGUUUCCUGACUUCAUUCUUCGCUAAUUCUGCUGUGCACAUUUGCACCCCUUUUGGUGUAUAGGCAAUCUACAUUCUUCGGCUUUGGUCUAUGCGAUUGCAUAGCAAUAUAUAAGCUAUGUUCUUCAAUAAGCUCAAAAUUCUGGGAUAAAACCAAGAAGGAAGGCUACUCCGUUUUAGCUUUUAAAUUUUUAAAGCAAAUUUUAGUGAUUCAUUUUGGACCAGAAAGCUGUACUAUAUAAUAAAUCAGUCUCACAUUUUAGUAUCCUCAUAUCCCUGAGGUGCAAAACCUCCAUAUCUUGGUCCCCAUAUCCAUGAAGCCAUUCUCUGGUUAUCACCAAUAGAAACUUGUCUCCAAGUCAUUUCUCAAAUAUUUGUCAAGAAUCAGAUAUAGUAUAAUGAUAGGGAAUGUUAUUGUUUCUGAAGCUGAUUCAUGAUCUCCAUAAAAAUGAAGACCCAGAACUGGACCCUGGGGUAGCACCAUGUAUGAUUUUUCUGACCCCAGCCAGAGGAUCUGCCAUCAUCCUGCCACAGAGACUUCAGCCCAGGUAGUUUCCAGAGAGCCCCAUGUUAACAUCCAAGGUGGAAACCAAUAAAUGUUUCUCUUGUAGGGUUCAGGUCUUUGGCUCUAAAGAAAAUCACUCCAUCUUUGACCCAGAAGGUCAAUUCUGAAUGAAUUUGCUGAAAAUGACCAAUUCACCAAAUUUAGUUAUUUCUAUGAUAAUUUAGUUGACUGGAAAUCAUUUUUUCGUUACAUUUUAAAGAAUGUUGAAUUUGUCUCUGCUCCAGCUUCCUGUAGCUCGUUUGAGGCUAAGAGAUAAAGAGAGGAAACACCAGGGAACAUAAGAUUUCUUCACAGUGAGGAAUAUAUUUAUUAAAUAUAUUUAAAAGAAUAUAUUCUAAAAGAACAUAUAUUCCAUUUUUGCCUGCUCUGACUUCUUGAUGCUGUACCUGGAGACUAACAUGAAAAGAAAGCAGUAUAUACUGGCCAGGCGCAGUGGCUCACACCUGUAAUCCCAGCACUUUGGAAGGCUGAGGCUGGUGGAUCACUUGAGGUCAGGAGUUCAAGACCAGCCUGGCCAAUAUGGUGAAACCCUAUCUCUACAAAAAAUACAAAAAUUAGCUGGGCAUGGUGGCAGGUGCCUGUAAUCUCAGCUACUCGAGAGGCUGAGGCAGGAGAAUUGCUUGAACCCAGGAAGUGGAGAGUGCAGUGAGCCAAGAUUGCACCAUUGCACUCCAGCCUGGGUGAUAGAGCGAGACUCUGUCUCAAAAAAAAAAAAAAAAAAAGAAAAAAAAAGUAUACACUGAUAAGAAUUCUUCAAAUUGAAGAUUAUGUUCUUAUGUCUACCCAGUCUUUCCUUUUUCCUUUCCUUCGGACUCCAACUAGAACAGCAAGGAGCAGAGACAAAGACAAACUAGUCCUUAAAAUGCUGUUAUGGAGACAAAAUGACACCAAACAAGUCCACUCUGUGAAUUGGUUAUGCUGUAAAUUAAUCUUUGUCUAAAUGGCCUUUGACAAACCGACUGACUCCUAGCUGACCUCCUUAGACAUACCCAGUAUCCCAAGUGAAGCUGUUUCAUCGUUUUUUGUUUGUUUGUUUUAAAGACAGGAGGUCUUUCUGUGUUGCCCAGGAUGGACUCCAAUUUCCUGGCUCAAGCGAUCCUCCUGCCUCCGCCUCCCAAGUAGCUGGGACUACAGAGUCUCAGAACAUGGGAUCAAUCUUAGACCCAAAGGAGGAUGCUUCUCAGAAACACUCUCUGUCCUGCCGUACGUCUGUCUAAACUCCUCUAGCAAUUCCGAUGUGAAAAGAAGAUGGAUGGAGAAGCACUGAUUCAGCCAUGGCUGACAUGUCGGAGUUGGAAUGGACAGUGCCCGGACCUCACAGUCUCAGAGAACUGGAGAAGAGUAAAGCUGAAGAGGGCAUCAUCUGGUUACAAAUGACAAGUCCAGGGCUCCAGAACUCAGGCCAUGUAGAGAGGCCACAUGGGAACUGAGGUUCCUAGUCCUCAGCUUCCACUGAGCUCCCAGCCAACAGCCAGCAAUAACUUGCCAGAUGUGUGCACAGGCCAUCCUGGAAGCAGAGGAUCCAGCCCUCAGCCAAGAUGCCCCAGUUGAUUCCAUGUGAACUAGGAAUGAGCCCUCCUGCUGAGCUCUGCCCAAAUUACAGAUCUGUGAGCAAACUAAAUGACAGUUGUAUUAAGCUACACAGAAAUAGAUAACUGGAAUACCACCCAUGUCUUUCUUUCCAAACUUAGUUAACUGAGUCUGAGCUAAAGAGAAUUCACACUGUAUAUCUUAUAUUGAAUACCCACUAUAUCUGGGGCAUGAUUGCUAAUAAUCCUCACAAUAGCCCUACAAUAGGAAACGAUCAUCCUCAUUUCACAGAUGGAGAGUUUAAUGGUAAGCCUGAACUCAGACUCAGACUUGUUUGACUUGAGAGCCCAUACCUCUUUCACUAAGCCAUACCAUCUCCAUUCACUCUAUGCUGUCUGGCCACCUGAGAGGCUGUCUGUAAGUCUAUCUCCUUAUUAACCCAUCAUUCCUGCUACUUCCAUGAUAAUCGGCAAGGCUGAAUGAUAGCUCUCAGUUCUAUGGGGUCUUUCCAGGAGAAGGGCCAAAGAGGAGUGGUUGAUCACAAAGUCAUCGGCACAAAAAGAUGGUGGCCAAGCUACAGUCCUGCAUGGCACAUGAGCCAGAUGAUCAAGUAAUGAAAGCUAUGCUAAGAAAUGUGGGCUUUAUCUUGUGGAGAAGGAGAUGCAGUAGAGGCUUUUUAAGGUACAUUUCAGAACAAUUAUUAUUUUUAUAUUUAUUAUAUAUUAUUUAUAUAUAUAAAACCACAAAUUAUAUGCUACAUAUAUACAUAUGUUUUUAUGUCUAUAUAUAAACACAUAUAUACGUUUAUAUAUAUAUACAUAUGUAUAUACAACACAUAAAAUUUACCAUCUUAACCUUUUUUUUUUCCAAGAUGGAGUCUCAUUCUGUUGCCCUGGCUGGAGUGCAGUGACACGAUCUCGGCUCACUGCAACCUACACCUCCCAGGUUCAAACAAUUCUCAUGCCUCAGCCUCCCUAGUAGCUGGGAUUACAGGCGCCCACCACCAUGCUCAGCUCAGCUAAUUUUUGUAUUUUUAGUAGAGACAGGGUUUCACCAUAUUGGCCAGGCUAGUUUCGAACUCCUGACCUCAGGUGAUCCGCUUGCCUCGGCCUCCCAAAGUGCUGGGAUUACAGGCAUGAGCCACUGCACCCGGCCUCAUCUUAACCAUUUUUAAGUGUACAGUUUGGUUGCAUUAAGUAUGUCCACAUGUUUAUGCAACCAUCACCACCUUCUCUUUUUAGAACUUCUGCAUCUUCCCAAACCAAAACCCCAUACCUAUUAAACAAUAACUCCCCAUUCUCCCUUCCCCCUUGCCCCUGUUCCUGACACAGAACAAUAUUUUUUGUAUAACUAUGAAAUAAAUGAAGGAAAUCUGAAGUGGGAAGGCCAGAGAGUAAGCUACAGGGGUACAUUGGGCAAGACACGAUGAGGACUUGAACCCAUGCUUGGGAAGCUGGCAUGAAAAGAGAGGUUCAACAGAUCCUACUAAGGUAAAAGUGAGAGGAUUUUGCGGGGCGGAGGGGGGGUCACUGGGAUGUGGGAGUGAGGAAGAAACAGGAAUCGGCCUGCCAGCAGUUAAUCUAUCGAACUCCCAUAGUCCACGUGACCCUGUCCUGCACCCCUAAAGAAGGCAGUGUGGCAGGUAGGUUAAGAGCCUAGACUCCAAAGACCAGGACGGCCUAGGUCCAAAUCCUGGCUCUGCCAUUUGCUAACUAUGUAACUUUGACCACUUACUUAACCCAUCUGCACUUCAGUUUCCCAGGUGAAAAACAGGCACGAAGAUAAGUGUAACAGGACAUACUUCAUAGGUACUACUGUUAAAGUAUUGAGAAGAAUACACAGUAAAUACUGCUCAAGUCAGUAGUUAAUACAAUGACUGUAUUAGUCCGUUUUCACGCUCUGAUAAAGACAUACCCAAGACUGGGUAAUUUAUAAAGGAAAGAGGUUUAAUUUACUCACAUUUCCACAUGGCUGGGGAGGCCUCACAAUCAUGGUGGAAGAGGAAGGAAGAGCAAAGGGAUGUCUUAUAUGGCAGCGGGCAAAAGAGAGAGCCAAGUGAAAGGGGGAAAUCUCUUAUAAAAACAUCAGAUCUCAUGAAACUUAUUUGCUACCACAAGAACAGUAUGGGGGAAACCGCUCCCGUUAUUCAAUUAUCUCCCACCGGGUCCCUCCUACAACAUGUAAGAAUUAUGGGAGCUGCAAUUCAAGAUGAGAUUUGGGUGGGAAUACAGCCAAACCAUAUCAAGGAUGCGCUCUCUAUUCUUCACUUUCCCAGUGACUUAUCUAAAAAUGAUUUCUCCCUUCUACGUGCAAGACUUCCACUCCAGUUUCUUUUCUCCUUAUAUUAUUUGCUUCCAGUUUCUAAAAUAUCCUUGGGAUCACUUUGAGAACAUGGGAGGAGAGAAGCAGAGGGCUUCAGGAAAUCUGAUGACCAUAACUUACGUUUUAUAAGUUCUUGUACAAAGUCAAGAACAGGUGAAAUUUCCAGGAAGAAUGUAGAAGACACAGUUAAUCAUGAUGUUAUUGGGUUGCCCUUAAGUGGGAUGCAUGGUCUCCCUAGGGGUCACAGGCUGGCUUCUAAAAAGUAACUAAUUUUUUUCUGAUUACAAUCAUAAUGUGGGUUUAUGUGGGAAGAAUUCUAAGCCACAGAAAAAUAUAAGGAAAAACUUGAAAAGUACUCCUAAUCUUACCACUCAAAGAUAACGUUAGCUGGCUGCAAGGAUCUUCAGAAUUCUCUAGGCCAGUUGCAGAACUGAAACAACAAAACAGAGCCUUGGGAGAUGUUAGCUUCAUGUUUUAUUUAGAAGUAUUAGCAGAUAGAAAAUUGAGCUCAUUAGCAUGCUAGCAUGUGUGGUGGCUCCAUAAUGCAUCAUCUUCGUUAGACCAACUACAUUUCCCAAAAUUCCCUUUCUUGCAUGUUUCUAAUUAACGUGGGACAGAAGAGAGUUUCCUGUGGGAGAUCUGGGCAGAUGUGGGCAGCAGCCAUGUUGUAGCUCACAUAGGUUGGCAAUGAUCAGUUGCCUCAUCUUAUUAGGACCAGGGAGGUGCGGGGCCUGUAACUGCUCCACCUUCUCCUGGGUUUUCCUUUUCAGCUUCUUCGGCUCCUUGGCCAUGUGUGUACUUUAUGAUGAAGCGCCCAGCUUCUGCAGGAUAUCCAUACUGCCAAGGUCAAAAGCAACAAUAAGCGACGUGGGGCUCAGUCUGUUCUCGUGGGCUACAAUGCAUGCUUCUGGUUUCCAGGUUGUUCUUGCUCUCCCUUAUUUUACAUUUAUCCUUCCUUCCCAACUGCCUGUCCGAUAGAUGUCGAGUCCCAACAUCAGAUGUGAAGAUGAGAGCUUUAUAGAGACUGCUUAACCAGCUCCCACAGUUGUAUUAGGACAAAUCCCUGUAGCAAAUCCCUUUGUGUGUGUGUGUGUGUGUGUGUGUGUGUGUAUGUGUGUGUGUGUGCGCGCGCACGCGCGUGCACGCACCUUAGUGGUUCUCCUGUGAUUGAAUCCUGACUUACACAGUUUGAGAUAGAAACCUUCUGAAGCAAUUAGAUUAAAUGGUCUAUAACUGUGCUGUCCAACAUGGUAGCCAUUAGCUACAUGUGGCUAUUUAAAUUUAAAUUAAUUAAAGUUAAACAUAAUUAGAAUUUAGUACCCCAGUCAAGUUUCAAGUGCUCAAUACUGUGGUCACAUGUGGCUGGUGGCCACUGUUUUGGGCAGCACAGAUAUAGAGCACUUCCGUUAUUGCAAAAAAAUGUUCUAUGAGCACUGGUCUAUAGUGAUAAUUACUAGUAUUUACUGAGUUCUCACCAUGUGUCAGAUGCAGAUUCCAAGUUUGCUCUGGAGAGCACGAUGCGGCAGGCAAACGGGGAAAGAGAGAGAGUGAUGGGAAUCAGGUGGGAGAUUUUUUUUUUUUUUUUUGAGAUGGAGUCUCUCUCACUCUGUCACCCAGGCUGGAGUGCAGUGGCACAAUAUCGGAUCACUGCAACCUCCGCCUCCCAGGUUCAAGUGAUUCUCCUGCCUCAGUCUCCCAAGUAGCCAGGAUUACAGACUUGUACCACCACGCCUGGCUAAGUUUUGUAUUUUUAGUAGAGACAGGGUUUCACCAUGUUGGCCAGGCUGGUCUCGAACCCCUGACCUCAGGUGAUCCACCCUCCUUGACCUUCCAAAGUGCUGAGAUUACAGGUGUGAGCCAUUGCACCUGGCCAGGUGGGAGAUUUUUAAUGACCAGGCCUGGAGGUGGCACACAUCACUUAUACCCACAUCCAUUGGCCAGCACUCAGUUACACGGCCACUUCUAACUACAAGGGAGGUUGGGAAAUGUAGCCUAGCUGUGUGCUGAGGAAGAAAAAGUAAAAGCUUUGGUGCCAGCCAGUCUCUGCCACAUCAGAUUUAAUUUGAGCGCUGUGAAGUAAUUAAUGCCCAUUAAACUAAGGGUGGGACAAGAUUAAUGCUAAAAUCACUCUCCCCAGCCACCAUUUUCUCUCUUGUUCUUUGUCAUGAUAUUGACAAGGUCAAAAGUCAGGCAGUCAGCAUGAACCCGAGGAGGAGAAGUCCUUGCCACUUUGAGGCUGAAUAUGAACAGCCCCUUCUUUAUGACUCACCCUAUCAGCUUUGCUCCUAGCGAAUGUUCAUAUCGUGGUUCUCCGGGACCCUUGAAAGUGGGACUCCUAUGUGAGGAACUAGUUCUAUAAACAACUACAUGCUAGUAAAAAACCAUUAAGAGGGUUGGAAUUAGGCAUAGUCCUGCUGCAUAGAAAUCCUACUUAGUUGGAAAAAUUGUAUUUUUAAGUUGCCUCUGUUUUGAAGCCACGUUAACCCUUAACCUUCAGAAAAUCCUUAGCCAGCCUUUAUACAUUGGUAGCUCCUGUUCUAAUAAUGUCUUCUCCUCCUAUUUUCUUUGGCUUGUCAUGAGCUUUGAAAGUUUGAUCUGAGAUCCCUCACUUUUAAUAAUCUGUAACUCUGAUUUGGUAAUCUCCUACAUAUGAAUAAAAUGUCUGUGUUCAUUUAUUUCUAAUGAAUAAAUGAACAUGCCUGCUGAGCCAAGCCUUAAAUGUGAUUAAGGAGACUGACUUGGGUUCAGAUCCUGGCUCUGCCUUGAGUAAGUUUCUAACAUUCCUCUGCUUGUAUUUCCUUAUCUGUAAAAUGGGAGUGAUUUCUUUGAAUGAAAUUAUAUUACAUUUAUCAAGCAUUUUAUCACAGUUUCAACAAUAAGGUGUAAUUAUUAUUAAUUCAGACUAUAUGAUUCUGUGCCCUUGGAUAAAGUUUACCAUUAUAUAAUAAACUACUUUUCUCACUUAAUGCAAACAAUGUGGUAUCAGUAAUUUGUAGAGGGCAUUUUAAAAAAUCAUGAAGAUGGUUUCUUCCAGGAUUUACAUGCAUGAGAUUUCCAUUCUGACUAUAAAACAUUCUUAUUUAUUCACUAACACUAGGUUAGUGAGAAUGUCUGUUAGAACACUGUGCUCAUCUAAUUCAAGUUUCCAUAGUUUAGGAUCAUCAUAGGAAGGCACCUCCUACAAAGAUCAUGGGGUUCCAUCCCUUCGUAUUACACAUCAGGAAACUGAAGUUCAUAGAAAUCCACUUCAGAGGUAAAGGAGACUUGAAGAUGACCUAGUGCAAUACUGUACGUUUUGCAAAGGUAGUCAUUUAGACGGUACUUUCAUCAUUUCAAAAAUCGCUUAUUUAUCCACAAUAGGCUGCACACACAAAAAUUAGAGUGUGAGGCUGAGGCUGGGUGCGAUGACUCACGCCUGUAAUCCCAGUGCUUUGGGAGGCCGAGGCAGGUGCCCAGGAGUUUGAGCCCAGGGGUUUGAGACCAGCCUGGGCAACAUGAAGAGACUUCAUCGCUACUAAACAUGUUAAAAUUAGCUGGGAGUGGUGGUGCAUGCCUAUAGUCCAAGCUACUUGGGAGGCUGAGGUGGGAGGUGCGCUUGAGCCCAGGUGUUAGAGACUGCAGUGAGCUAUGAUUGCACCAUUGCAUUCCAGCCUGGUGACAGAGCAAGACCCUGUCUCUAAAAAAUAAAAAUAAAAUAAAAAUAGAGUAUAAUGUUUGUACCGUUUGGGAUUAUAUCAAUACUGGUUUUCUACUGCUGAUCACAAACACUGGAUACUGUCAUAUAUGUUUUUACUCAACACCAAAAAUGAGAACAAUCUUACUUAAAUAAAUUGUGCAAAAGCAUCUUUUAGGGCUUGGAGUUCACUGGAAGAAAAGAAUUACAAAAUAGGUCAUGGGUGGGGAAAAUACCAGAUACCAAAAUAGUCCAACCCCUUCAGUCCACAAGUGAGGAAACACAAGCUCAGAAAUGUGAAGUCAUUUGCCAAAGUUUAUUCUUUUAAUCCCAUUUUUGAAGGCCUACUGUGUGCCAGGCACGGGGGUUAUAGCAGGGAAUAAAACAAAGUCCCUGGCCUCAAAGAGAGUUUACAUUCUAGUCAUAUUAUGCAACUCACUUCAAAGUUUUAAAACUCUACUUUGAAAACAUCCUGUAACUGAAAACUUCUCACUAAUUCAAACCCAUCUCCUUCUGCUUGUGUACACCAAAACCCAGAAUUGGUUAGACUUCACUGUGAAUCCCAAUCUGUGUAAUAUCAAAUCAUAUUUCAAGUUAGGAGCAAGGCAAAAAUGUCUACAUAAUUGAAAGACAACAGAGCUAUGUGUUCAAUUCCUGUUCAUUCAAUUAAUCAGAUAAUUAUAAGCAAUUCUAAUUUACACACUAAAGCAAAAUUACUGCCAUUUUAUAUCUUUGUUUAUCUCUUCUUCAAAUUAAAAAACUCUAUGCUGUACUAAAUACUAUAGCAACAUUAGAGUAACUUUUACUUUAUGCUCUGUUCACUUCUAAAAGAAAAGUAACAAAAGGGUAUAGGUCACACUGGACACGGAUGUUAAAGACUAACACACAUCACAUCACAAACAUCAUUGCAAAAGUAUCUCUAACUUACCUUGAUGUUUUUUACAGCCCUGUGAUCUUGUAAAUGUGAGGCCUCUUGGCAAGAUCAAUGUGUUUCUUGUUAUUUCUUGAACUAAGGAAUGCUAUUAAGGUGCAUUUCAACAGCGUGUUCUCUUGGAAUAUCAACUUAAACCCUAAUAGGUUAAAUCAGCAGAACUGUUGCUUUUAUGCCUUAGAUCACUCUUUAUCUUUAUACAGUGCUUUGGGGAUAUAAAUUCAUCCCAGGAUGAACAAAUCAUGCAAAGUUGUGUAAAAACCAUUUUCAAGCCAGGCACGGUGGCAUGCACCUGUAAUCCCAGCUACUCGGGAGGUCGAGAUGGGAGGAUGGCUUGAGCCCAGGAGUUCGAGGCUGCAGUGAGCCAUGAUUGUUGCGCCUGUGAAUAGGCACCGCAUUCCAGCCUGGGCAACACAGUGAGACCCAGGCUCUAAAACAACAACAGCAACAACAAGAAAACCAUUUUUAAUGCUUCAGGACUAAAUAUUGGGGAAGUGGUUAAGAACACGAGUUCUAGAAUCUCACCACCUCCACUUUCCAGCUGUGUGAAUUUGGAAAUUACCCAAACUGUCCAAGCCAAAAAUAAGCACUUUCUGGAUCUUGGUACUGUUUCUUUCUGGGUAACCUAGAAAGUCACUCCAUUGCUUUGAGCUUCAGUUUUCUCUUCAGCAAAGUGAGGAUAACACAAACUUUUCUACUAACCUCAAGGGGACACCGUGAGAUGAUGUAUGCGAAGGUGCUUCGUCAACCGCAAAGACCUACAGGAGUGUCCAGUUGUGUUGCUGCUGCUGUUGUUAAUCUUUAGUACCAGUACUAUGUAUGAAGUAGUACUAAAGAAUCUGUCUUUAGUACCAGUACUAUGUAGUAGUACUAAAGAAUCUGUCUUUAGUACCAGUACUAUGUAGUAGUACUAAAGAAUCUGUCUUUAGUACCAGUACUAUGUAGUAGUGCUAAAGAAUCUGUCUUUAGUACCAGUACUAUGUAGUAGUACUAAAGAAUCUGUCUUUAGUACCAGUACUAUGUAGUAGUACUAAAGAAUCUGUCUUAGUAUACACAGUACUGGUACUAAAGGCACUAUGAAGAAGGCCAGGCAUGGUGGCUCAUGCCUGUAAUCCCAGCACUUUGGGAGGCCGAGGUAGGUGGACCACCUGAGGUCAAGAGUUUGAGACCAGCCUGGCCAACGUGGCAAAACCCCGU